CCCUUAGAUGUUCUGGGCCGCACGCGCGCUACACUGACUGGUGCAACAAGUGUCUGACCUUGGCUCGAGAGGCCUGGGCAACCUUUGAACGCCAGUCGUGCUGGGGAUAGAUUCUUGCAAUUAUUAAUCUUCAACGAGGAAUUCCUAGUAAACGCAAGUCAUCAGCUUGCAUUGAUUACGUCCCUGCCCUUUGUACACACCGCCCGUCGCACCUACCGAUUGAAUGAUUUAGUGAGGACUUCGGACUGGGACCGAUGCGGCUUUCGGGCUGCGUCGGUAUUCUGGAAAGAUGUCCAAACUGUAUCAUUUAGAGGAAGUAAAAGUCGUAACA
RNAcentral lists this ribosomal RNA (331 nucleotides) under uncultured eukaryote. Its description in RNAcentral is "partial 18S ribosomal RNA". It matches the Rfam family "Eukaryotic small subunit ribosomal RNA", at positions 1470 to 1796 of the family's 1831-position model. The record is from RNAcentral.